This 1500-nucleotide ribosomal RNA is filed under the name uncultured bacterium. RNAcentral describes it as "partial 16S ribosomal RNA". It matches the Rfam family "Bacterial small subunit ribosomal RNA". The record is from RNAcentral.
AGGGUUUGAUCCUGGCUCAGAUUGAACGCUGGCGGCAUGCCUUACACAUGCAAGUCGAACGGCAGCACGGGAGCAAUCCUGGUGGCGAGUGGCGAACGGGUGAGUAAUAUAUCGGAACGUGCCCAGUCGUGGGGGAUAACGUAGCGAAAGCUACGCUAAUACCGCAUACGAUCUACGGAUGAAAGCGGGGGAUCGCAAGACCUCGCGCGAUUGGAGCGGCCGAUAUCAGAUUAGCUAGUUGGUGGGGUAAAAGCCCACCAAGGCGACGAUCUGUAGCUGGUCUGAGAGGACGACCAGCCACACUGGAACUGAGACACGGUCCAGACUCCUACGGGAGGCAGCAGUGGGGAAUUUUGGACAAUGGGCGCAAGCCUGAUCCAGCAAUGCCGCGUGCAGGAUGAAGGCCUUCGGGUUGUAAACUGCUUUUGUACGGAACGAAACGGUCUCUUCUAAUAAAGGGGGCUAAUGACGGUACCGUAAGAAUAAGCACCGGCUAACUACGUGCCAGCAGCCGCGGUAAUACGUAGGGUGCGAGCGUUAAUCGGAAUUACUGGGCGUAAAGCGUGCGCAGGCGGUUAUAUAAGACAGAUGUGAAAUCCCCGGGCUCAACCUGGGACCUGCAUUUGUGACUGUAUAGCUAGAGUACGGUAGAGGGGGAUGGAAUUCCGCGUGUAGCAGUGAAAUGCGUAGAUAUCAGAAGGAACAUCAAUGGCGAAGGCAGCUUUCUGGACCAAUACUGACGCUGAGGUACGAAAGCGUGGGUAGCAAACAGGAUUAGAUACCCUGGUAGUCCACGCCGUAAACGAUGAUAACUAGCCGUUGGGGGGAUUUACCCUUUAGUGGCGAAGCUAACGCGUUAAGUUAUCCGCCUGGGGAGUACGGCCGCAAGGUUAAAACUCAAAGGAAUUGACGGGGACCCGCACAAGCGGUGGAGCAUGUGGUUUAAUUCGAUGCAACGCGAAGAACCUUACCUGGUCUUGACAUCCUGCGAACUUUCUAGAAAUAGAUUGGUGCCUUCGGGAACGCAGUGACAGGUGCUGCAUGGCUGUCGUCAGCUCGUGUCGUGAGAUGUUGGGUUAAGUCCCGUAACGAGCGCAACCCCUAUCCUUAUUUGCCAGCACAUCAUGGUGGGAACUAUAAGGAGACUGCCGGUGAUAAACCGGAGGAAGGCGGGGACGACGUCAAGUCAUCAUGGCCCUUACGACCAGGGCUACACACGUGCUACAAUGGGAAGGACAAAGAGCCGCGAAGCCGCGAGGUGUAGCUAAUCUCAUAAACCUUUUCGUAGUCCGGAUUGGAGUCUGCAACUCGACUCCAUGAAGUCGGAAUCGCUAGUAAUCGUAGAUCAGAAUGCUACGGUGAAUACGUUCCCGGGUCUUGUACACACCGCCCGUCAUACCAUGGGAGUGGGUUGCACCAGAAGUGGCUAGUCUAACUUAGUGAGGACGGUCACCACGGUGUGAUUCAUGACUGGGGUAAAGUCGUAACAAGGUAACCGUA